Molecule: long non-coding RNA, 831 nt
Filed under: Homo sapiens (human)
Lineage: Eukaryota; Metazoa; Chordata; Mammalia; Primates; Hominidae
Description: HSALNT0351651
Source: RNAcentral
AGUGCUCCUGCUGACCUUCCGUGUCUGCAGCCCGGCUUUGGACUGUGGAGAUGCCCUCAGCCUCUACUCAGUGGCUCCAGCCUCAUAUUUGCGUGCUAUACCUUUAACCUCAAGUCCUCUUGCUGCUAACUUAAGCUGCGACUGUCCAGGACCUGCACACACACACACAUGCACGCAUGCACACACACACACACAGAAGCCCUGACUGCCGAAACCCUCCAGCCCCAGCUCCAGCCCCUCAGGAGGGGACUGCGUGGGAGGAAUGACUCCAGCAAGCCGGCAGCUGACCCGUCUCCUGCCUGCACGCCUCCCGCUGUGGUCCACUGCCGGUGGUCUUCAGCUCUCUCCUCGUCCCACCCCCAUGGUCUGCUGACAGCCCAGCUCAGUGCAUCCCUGCCAUCUCUGCUCUACCGCUGGUCCUCCCAACAACCAACUUACAGGUUUGGGGGCACACGUGAAGGUUUGACAUAUAGUAAACACAUGUCAUGGUGGUUUGUUGUACAGAUUAUUACAUCACCCAGGGUUUCACUCCCGUCACCCAGACUGGAGUACAAUGGUGCGAUCUCAGCUCACUGCAACCUCUGCCUCCUGGGCUUAAGCGAUUCUCCUGCCUUGGCCUCCCAAGUAGCUGGGAUUACAGGUGCCUGCCACCACUCCUGGCUAAUUUUUGUAUUUUUUGUAAAGGCGGAGUUUCUCCAUGUUGCCCAGGCUAGUCUCAAACUCCUGAGCUCAAGCAAUCCACCCGCCUCGGCCUCCCAAAUAAGUGGAAUUAUAGGUGUGAGCCACCACGCCGGCCCUGAUGUAUCAAUAUUAAAACAUUUUCUUCAGCCU